This 427-nucleotide ribosomal RNA is filed under the name uncultured bacterium. Its description in RNAcentral is "partial 16S ribosomal RNA". It matches the Rfam family "Bacterial small subunit ribosomal RNA", at positions 355 to 774 of the family's 1533-position model. The record is from RNAcentral.
UGGGGAAUAUUGCACAAUGGGCGCAAGCCUGAUGCAGCCAUGCCGCGUGUAUGAAGAAGGCCUUCGGGUUGUAAAGUACUUUCAGCGAGGAGGAAGGCGUUGUGGUUAAUAACCGCAACGAUUGACGUUACUCGCAGAAGAAGCACCGGCUAACUCCGUGCCAGCAGCCGCGGUAAUACGGAGGGUGCAAGCGUUAAUCGGAAUUACUGGGCGUAAAGCGCACGCAGGCGGUCUGUCAAGUCGGAUGUGAAAUCCCCGGGCUCAACCUGGGAACUGCAUCCGAAACUGGCAGGCUAGAGUCUUGUAGAGGGGGGUAGAAUUCCAGGUGUAGCGGUGAAAUGCGUAGAGAUCUGGAGGAAUACCGGUGGCGAAGGCGGCCCCCUGGACAAAGACUGACGCUCAGUUGCGAAAGCGUGGGGAGCAAACA